GAAAAUACAACCUUUUCCAGUCUUCCAAAGGGCAAGACAACUUUUGAGAGAAUUGAAAAAAUUAGAAAAAAUUACUAAGGAACAGAAUGAGCUACUGGAGGAAGCUGUAAAGAAAACAGAAGAAUGCGAGCAAGAAAUUGAAAAGUUGAAACAAUUCUUAAAGAACCACUUGGUUGAAAUGUCACACGAGAAUCAGCCACUGGCUCAGAAUACCUCUUGCCCUGAGGGAGAAAUGGAAGCUGUAAAAGAAGAAAUCAUCAAGCUGUGCCAAAAAAAGGAAGAUAUCCUUACCAGGAUGAAGAAUUCAAUGUCUGAGCUUCACCAGCGCUUGCAUCAAGAAGUGCCUGAAGCAGAAGAUGAACCCACAGCCUCUGUAUUAGCAGAAAGUGACUUGAUU
RNAcentral lists this long non-coding RNA (397 nucleotides) under Apteryx rowi (Okarito brown kiwi). RNAcentral describes it as "lncRNA (ENSARWG00000011444.1)". Lineage: Eukaryota; Metazoa; Chordata; Aves; Apterygiformes; Apterygidae. The record is from RNAcentral.